UAUCUUAUCCCGUUCAAUCUUGUAUAAUGUGACUGCUGAAAAACAAGUGAUUUAAAAAAAUUCUAGAUAAUUAAUUAUAAUUAAAUAUUAUUUAUUUUUCAGGAACAAAACUGAUAAUUAUAUGAAUCCAAUUCGGCAAUUCCAAAGACGAAGUACUAGAGAAUUUGUUAUACACCAAAAAGAAAGAACAAGACCGGGUGACUGUGGUCGAGUGGUGAGGAGCCGGGGCUGAGACACCAACAUGUUUCAGGUUCGAUCCACCUGCUGCGCGAAACUAAGUCACAAUUAUCCUGGUCACCCAACACGGAUAUGAGCCCAUGCUUUAGGGCCCAUUUGAAUACCCGGAGAGAGGGUCUAUCCGUGGGCUGCACCUCCCCUUGGGGAUUAGUCUGGGCUUCUCCAUGGGCCUGGGAUACCCCCAAGUCAAAAAAAAAAAAAAAAAAAAAAAAAAACAAGAGUGUGACCUUUCUUUGUCAUAUUUUGGAAAAUAAGCGUGGCACAGAAUAAGGCUUGGAGGUCCACUUUGUCUGUCCUUGAUGACGUGUCGUUCAAAGUCAUUCAGGAUAAGGAUUGUGGAGGGCAUACACCCACGCGCCACGGUGGAUUUAUGAUAAAAAUAUUAAUUAGAUGUCACUAAUAACUCUCUGCUCUUAUCUAAAAGUGUUAUUAGUUAUUACCACUCCGUAAUUGGACGAUUAAAUGAUUGUUUAUUACAUUUUUC
This 721-nucleotide long non-coding RNA is filed under the name Brassica rapa (field mustard). Its description in RNAcentral is "long non-coding RNA (BRAP_LNC005439)". Lineage: Eukaryota; Viridiplantae; Streptophyta; Magnoliopsida; Brassicales; Brassicaceae. The record is from RNAcentral.